Molecule: ribosomal RNA, 553 nt
Filed under: Acanthamoeba genotype T4
Lineage: Eukaryota; Discosea; Longamoebia; Acanthamoebidae
Description: SSU rRNA
Rfam family: Eukaryotic small subunit ribosomal RNA
Source: RNAcentral
CCUUAACGAGUAACAAUUGGAGGGCAAGUCUGGUGCCAGCAGCCGCGGUAAUUCCAGCUCCAAUAGCGUAUAUUAAAGUUGUUGCAGUUAAAAAGCUCGUAGUUGGAUCUAGGGACGCGCAUUUCAAGCGCCCGUGUCGUCGGGUCAAACCGGCGACUGCGUUGGCGUUGCGGGCUCGGUCCGUCGGUGCCACUAAAAGCACUGGCGUGUCAACCGGCCCGCCCGUCCCCUCCUUCUGGAUUCCCGUUCCUGCUAUUGAGUUAGUGGGGACGUCACAGGGGGCUCAUCGUCGUCAUGCAAAUGGCGGCGGUGGGUCCCUGGGGCCCAGAUCGUUUACCGUGAAAAAAUUAGAGUGUUCAAAGCAGGCAGAUCCAAUUCUCUGCCACCGAAUACAUUAGCAUGGGAUAAUGGAAUAGGACCCUGUCCUCCUAUUUUCAGUUGGUUUUGGCAGCGCGAGGACUAGGGUAAUGAUUAAUAGGGAUAGUUGGGGGCAUUAAUAUUUAAUUGUCAGAGGUGAAAUUCUUGGAUUUAUGAAAGAUUAACUUCUGCGAAA